This 1379-nucleotide long non-coding RNA is filed under the name Rhinopithecus bieti (black snub-nosed monkey). Its description in RNAcentral is "lncRNA (ENSRBIG00000046276.1)". Lineage: Eukaryota; Metazoa; Chordata; Mammalia; Primates; Cercopithecidae. The record is from RNAcentral.
UGUAACUCUUCCUUUCCUGUCUUUCCAGCUCUUAGGAUACUUCAUAAGUCACAGUUUAGUGGGGAUUCACACACUCAUCCAUUUAAUCUUUUUUGUAUUCAUCUAUCCAUGUAUCCAUUCAUCUAUGUAUUUGAAUGCUGAGCACUCACAGCGUAGCCUUUUCAACGUGCCUGGAACCAUGUCUUACCCAUGAGAGGGGACACCAAACUCAAUAAGCCUUGGUUCCAUCCCCAGUGAGCUCAUGUAAGCAGAAAUUGAAACAGAGCCGGGUGAAAGUGCUGUGACAAAACUGUGUGAACACAGAAGAUGAAAACGCAGAGCAGCAGGUGAGGGAGAGCUUCCUGGACGAGGUGUCACCUGCACCAAGCAUUCAAGAAAGAUCAAUUGACAUUUACUACUUGCCGAAGAACAGGUUAGAAGCAAUCAGCAACCUCACUCCUGGCCUGGAAUCAAGCCGAGUGAGUCACAGAGUCCUGGACCUUGGUGAGAGUCCCAUCCAACUUCCCUCCCCAAGUACACCCCUGGGGACCAAUUACAACCAUCUGCUUAAGAGUUAUUACUGUGUCCCCCAAAUUAAAAGCUACAAAUUGUCAAACAGAAGGAAUACAAGAACAGACUAAAAUGACUACAUCUUAAACCAUUUGUAGAAUGAAUAAUCCCCAGACAGCUUCGGAUGCGUGUGGCUGAGACCUUAGAAAGUGCAAGUCAAGUGUGAGGGAGUGAUGGGCAGAGGCUUUGUUUCCAUUCAAAUGGGACGAUAGAUGGGUCCAGGAACCCCAGACAGUGUGUGGAUGCUAUUGCUACAUCGUCCCUGCCUACAGUCCAGCUCCAUUUGGGAGAAUGUGUACAAAGGCUUUUUGGUCCGAGUGGUUUCUUUAUGGGCAGAUUUACUCUUGCAAGAUAUGUUUUAAGGCAAAGGAAGUGUAACAGGAAACCUGCAGCAUGUUAAGAGUUAGCUAUUCUCUUGGAAAAAGUGGAAUGAUUCAGUGAACACUCUGAAGCAUGCAAUGUGUGAUCAAUAUGUGAGAAGAGAGGAUCAAGAUGAGGAAAUCCUAACUAGGAAAAGACAAGAGAAGAGGAUUUCAGUGUUAACACCAUUUAAAAGCCAAGCAUCCCUCUGAUAAUGAACUCUUGCUACAAACCACAAGGGACAACUGCCUUUUGCUUUAUUAAAAAAUAAAAAGAUGGGGAUGUCUAGACAAGAAAUAUAUUAGAGAUCAUGUCUUAAAUGUUCUUGUACUGGAAGAUAUAAAACCAUACACCCUCCUUUCUCACUUUCCUGCUUCUUUACAACCAAAGCCCAAGAAGGAAAAAAUCGUGGAAGAAAUCGUCUGGGUCCCAGGGCCAUUCCCACAUACAGGAAAAGCAGGCGCCUCCAU